GUCCUGGCCCUAAACGGUGCACGUUUGCUGUAAGAGGAAUCGACCCCUUUUGUGGCGAAGCUAACGCGUUAAACGUGCCGCCUGGGAAGUACGGCCGCAAGGUUAAAACUCAAAGAAAUUGACGGGGGCCUGCACAAGCGGUGGAGUAUGUGGCUUAAUUCGAUGCAACGCGAAGAACCUUACCUGGCCUUGACAUGCACAUAGUAGAAGGGUGAAAGCCUGACGAGGUAGCAAUACCAGUGUGCACAGGUGCUGCAUGGCUGUAGU
RNAcentral lists this ribosomal RNA (267 nucleotides) under uncultured bacterium. RNAcentral's name for it is "partial 16S ribosomal RNA". It matches the Rfam family "Bacterial small subunit ribosomal RNA", at positions 793 to 1055 of the family's 1533-position model. The record is from RNAcentral.